CUGCAACCCUAGCCUAGCUGCUUGCUUCUUUUCCCUCCCUGCCGCCGCCACACAGAGCACACCGUCUUCCGCACGCGUCAAGCGCGAGCUCGUCCUCGAAGCCUCACGCGAGCACCAACAAGCUUCCCGCUUCAUCUCCGCGCCGUCGCCAUGAUCUCCGGGACGUCGCCGACGUCCGCGUCGUUGUCUCCGACCCAUCGUCCUUGACCAAGCUUCGAUGUCUUUGCCGUUUAAUCAACGCAACUUCCUUCACACAGGUCAGCAACGACCGACAGCAUCCAGGCCGCGCCACGGGCCACGGCCAAGCGCGCAACCGCCGUCGUCUACCUCGGCCCCGUCUUCUUCCUCGACGCCGGUAGCCGCCCCGCUCUUUUCUCCUCGUCGAGCACCACCAGGCAUUUGCUUCUUCCCGGAUAGGAUCACGAAGUGGUGAUGUGAGAUACGACGAGUUCUCCGACAAGUUCUUCUGCAGCUUUUCACAGGCGAGCCCACCCCUUCACCUAUUUUACUUUUACAUGCUCUUUUGAUCUAUUGCUAUCCUUGUGUUGCGAUUCUGUUGUGUCACGUGUCCUAUCCACCUGUUACCUAUAUGUCCGAGAUACACCUCCUCGCCCUACCUAUUGUUUGUUGUUUGCCAGUUUUGCGAGUCGUAGGCGAGUUUAGGGUCUUGUUGAUAUCUCGAGAUGUUCGGGGUAUCUUGUUGGGAGGUUAUCACAUGCUAUAUCUUUUGUUGGGGAUAAUCACACUUUACUUUAUUGUUAACAACUAAAAUUGUAAGCAGAGGCAUCUGUGAGCCCCUUUGCGAAAAAGCAUCGGAACUUUGACUUGCUAAUGUCCCCUAGGACCCGAGUUCUUGUUAUCUGUUCCGAGAUUGAGCGCUCUACCCGUACGUGGGGGAAUGGGACCCCCAUCACCCACUACCUUUCCUCGAGUCUGUUUAUUGGGAGCCACAACCUUGGUUUUAUUUGCUCAUAUGCACGAUGCACGAUUUACUUCUGUUGCCUUCGGGUGUUUAUAUUCCGUUCUGUACUCAUAACGCGGAACGAUUAGCGAAAGCAGGUUGUUCACACUUAGCUUAGCCGUUGUCGCAAACCUCUGGGUCCGUAUCGGAGUACGGCCGGACUUCGUCACGGGUAGCUUAGUUGGGUGGCUCCCAUUAAAUUUUAUCUUGCAUUGGGAACGGUCUUGAUGUGAGACUCCACCUGUAGUAAGUGGGUUCGAGCAUGCGUAUGGUUACAUUUGGGCAACCCCUGCAGGGUGUACAUCUUAUCGAUAAGCCGUGUCCGCGGUUAUGGACGACUUGGAAUUGUAUAGCUUGAUCAUAGAACAACUUACACCUUAUACUUGUUGUUAAUAGUCUGAUAAUAACUUGCGUACUAAUAUAGCUUUACUACAACCGAUACCUAAUAAAACUUGUCCACCGUUGAGUGCCUUUUACAUUGCCUCUUCGCUUUGUUGAAGGGGAUAUGUGUAUUUGGCUGGGUUAUGUUUGUGUAAUAUUUAUCUGUUACCUUGUGCGCUCUCUUAUCUUAUCUGAGUAGACGGAUGUUGUAGUGUGUCUCUAUUGGUUAUAGUUUUGCUGCCGCUAAAUCUACCAUAUAGCCCCAGGCGAUAUAUAUAUAUACUCGCCCGGCGAGCAUAGCCAUUUCUAGUCUCGCUAAGUACAUGCCGGAGUUCGUUCCUUGGUACUUACUCUCGCCUUUUCCCCUUUCUCUUUUGCUCCCUCCCUCUUGUCGGCAACCGAUGGCCCGAC
This is a long non-coding RNA of Lolium perenne, 1753 nucleotides long. RefSeq lists it as uncharacterized. The record is from RefSeq and is a predicted model, not a curated record. NCBI's taxonomy places the organism in Eukaryota, Viridiplantae, Streptophyta, Magnoliopsida, Poales, Poaceae.